RNAcentral lists this ribosomal RNA (460 nucleotides) under uncultured bacterium. Its description in RNAcentral is "partial 16S ribosomal RNA". It matches the Rfam family "Bacterial small subunit ribosomal RNA", at positions 338 to 795 of the family's 1533-position model. The record is from RNAcentral.
CCUACGGGUGGCAGCAGUGAGGAAUAUUGGUCAAUGGACGGAAGUCUGAACCAGCCAUGCCGCGUGCAGGAAGACGGCUCUACGAGUUGUAAACUGCUUUUGUACAAGGGUAAACCUGAAUACGUGUAUUCAGCUGAAAGUACUGUACGAAUAAGGAUCGGCUAACUCCGUGCCAGCAGCCGCGGUAAUACGGAGGAUGCAAGCGUUAUCCGGAUUUAUUGGGGUUACAGGGUGCGUAGGCGGAUUGAUAAGUUUGGGGUGAAAUGGCCGAGCUUAACUCGGGAACUGCCGCUAAUACUGUUGAUCUAGAGUGUAGGUGAGGUAGGCGGAAUGUAUGGUGUAGCGGUGAAAUGCUUAGAGAUCAUACAGAACACCGAUUGCGAAGGCAGCUUACCAAUCUAUAACUGACGUUGAGGCACGAAAGCGUGGGGAGCAAACAGGAUUAGAUACCCUUGUAGUC